CCUACGGGAGGCAGCAGUGAGGAAUAUUGGUCAAUGGCCGGAAGGCUGAACCAGCCAAGCCGCGUGAAGGACGAAGGUGCCACGCAUUGUAAACUUCUCUUGUCAAGGGACAAAAUCAGGCUCGAGAGCCUGACCGCGGGUACUUGAAGAACAAGCAUCGGCUAACUCCGUGCCAGCAGCCGCGGUAAUACGGAGGAUGCGAGCGUUAUCCGGAUUUAUGUGGUUUAAAGGGUGCGUAGGCGGACUGUUAAGUCAGCGGUAAAAGCCCGGGGCGAAACCCCGGCGAGCCGUUGAAACUGGCGGUCUUGAGAGGGCGAGAGGUAGGCGGAAGGCGCAGUGUAGCGGUGAAAUGCUUAGAUAUUGCGCAGAACUCCGAUUGCGAAGGCAGCAUACCGGCGGCGAUCUGACGCUGAGGCACGAAAGCGUGGGUAUCGAACAGGAUUAGAUACCCUAGUAGUC
RNAcentral lists this ribosomal RNA (459 nucleotides) under uncultured bacterium. RNAcentral describes it as "partial 16S ribosomal RNA". It matches the Rfam family "Bacterial small subunit ribosomal RNA", at positions 338 to 795 of the family's 1533-position model. The record is from RNAcentral.